This 512-nucleotide ribosomal RNA is filed under the name uncultured bacterium. RNAcentral's name for it is "bacterial SSU rRNA". It matches the Rfam family "Bacterial small subunit ribosomal RNA", at positions 15 to 518 of the family's 1533-position model. The record is from RNAcentral.
GAUUCUGGCUCAGGAUGAACGCUAGCUACAGGCUUAACACAUGCAAGUCGAGGGCAGCAUGAGGUUGCUUGCAAACUUGAUGGCGACCGGCGCACGGGUGAGUAACGCGUAUCCAACCUUCCCCUUAGUAGGGCAUAGCCCGGCGAAAGUCGGAUUAAUACCCUAUGUUAUCCGAAGAGGACAUCUGAAUUGGAUUAAAGAUUCAUCGCUAAGGGAUGGGGAUGCGUCUGAUUAGGUAGUAGGCGGGGUAACGGCCCACCUAGCCGACGAUCAGUAGGGGUUCUGAGAGGAAGGUCCCCCACAUUGGAACUGAGACACGGUCCAAACUCCUACGGGAGGCAGCAGUGAGGAAUAUUGGUCAAUGGGCGCGAGCCUGAACCAGCCAAGUAGCGUGCAAGGAUGACGGCCCUAUGGGUUGUAAACUGCUUUUAUACAGGGAUAAAGUGAGCCACGUGUGGUUUUUUGCAGGUACUGUAUGAAUAAGGACCGGCUAAUUCCGUGCCAGCAGCUGC